UUGAGUGUUACAACUCCCAAACCCUUUGUGAACCUUACCUACCGUUGCUUCGGCGGGAACGCCCCCGGCGCCCCGCCGAAGGCACCAAACUCUAGCUUGCUCCAGUGGUUUUCUCUCUGAGUGGCAUAAGCAAAAAUAAAAUCA
RNAcentral lists this unclassified non-coding RNA (144 nucleotides) under uncultured fungus. RNAcentral describes it as "sequence contains ITS1, 5.8S rRNA gene". The record is from RNAcentral. RNAcentral also lists the same sequence under 1 other name. Lineage: Eukaryota; Fungi.